This 213-nucleotide ribosomal RNA is filed under the name uncultured bacterium. RNAcentral describes it as "partial 16S ribosomal RNA". It matches the Rfam family "Bacterial small subunit ribosomal RNA", at positions 524 to 724 of the family's 1533-position model. The record is from RNAcentral.
UACAGAGGUCCCAAGCGUUGUUCGGAUUCAUUGGGUACGGUAAAGGGUGCGUGAGGUUGGACGCGCUAAGUCGGGAUUGUGAAAUUUUCGGAGCUUAACUCCGAAACUGCAUUCGAUACUGGUGUGCUUGAGGACUGGAUGAGGAGACGUGGAAUUCAUGGUGUAGCAGUGAAAAUGCGUAGAGAUCAUGAGGAAGACCAGUGGCGAAGGCGG